AUACGGAGGAUCCGAGCGUUAUCCGGAUUUAUUGGGUUUAAAGGGUGCGUAGGCGGCCUUUUAAGUCAGCGGUGAAAGUCUGUGGCUCAACCAUAGAAUUGCCGUUGAAACUGGGAGGCUUGAGUAUGUUUGAGGCAGGCGGAAUGCGUGGUGUAGCGGUGAAAUGCUUAGAUAUCACGCAGAACCCCGCUUGCGAAGGCAGCCUGCCAAGCCAUGACUGACGCUGAUGCACGAAAGCGUGGGGAUCAAACAGGAUUAGAUACCCUGGUAGUCCACGCAGUAAACGAUGAUCACUAGCUGUUUGCGAUACACUGUAAGCGGCACAGCGAAAGCGUUAAGUGAUCCACCUGGGGAGUACGCCGGCAACGGUGAAACUCAAAGGAAUGGACGGGG
This 393-nucleotide ribosomal RNA is filed under the name uncultured bacterium. RNAcentral describes it as "partial 16S ribosomal RNA". It matches the Rfam family "Bacterial small subunit ribosomal RNA", at positions 523 to 918 of the family's 1533-position model. The record is from RNAcentral.